Helianthus annuus (common sunflower) is the source of this 1466-nucleotide long non-coding RNA. RefSeq lists it as uncharacterized. NCBI's taxonomy places the organism in Eukaryota, Viridiplantae, Streptophyta, Magnoliopsida, Asterales, Asteraceae. The record is from RefSeq and is a predicted model, not a curated record. The transcript is spliced from 3 exons.
UUUUGUUCCAUUCUAGUGCCUUGGUCUGCAACCAGCAACCACGUAACUCUCGUUAGCCCUAAUUCUGAAUCAAGAAUCAUUGGUUAAUGGAGGAAGAUGGUGUAGUUCAUGCUAGUUCUUAAAUCAACUGAAUCAACAAUGAAGACACCGUACGAAACAAUACAUUCAUUGUCUUUUUAACCCUACAAAUCUUCGAAAACCACCCGUUUCCGCCGCUUCUUCGUCGUACCUGACUCAACACAACCACCGUCACAAGAGUUACCACAAUUCAUCAUCAUUGUUCCCUCAGGCUCUCCUCAAAAGCGCUCGUGAGUUCCCAGUUUCAACUAAAGCUCUUAAAUUUUUUGAUUUCAUUCGUGAUAAUCCCUCUCAGUCUAUACAUCCACCUCCAUUAUAUUUUGUAUUCCAAAUUGUUAUUGAGCCCCAAUAUGUGAAGAAAAUUGUGCUUCCAUUGUUGGUUUGUUUAAUCUUUUAAAAGGAACUGAAGGUUUCUCAGAACGUGAAAGCUCUUUUGAGAGGAAAUCUUGUUGUGAAAAGGCAGUCGUUACUUCUGCGAGUUCUUUCUGUAAGUGAAAGAGAAACUGUUAUCAAGACGCCUUGUAAACCUCCUUGUGCUGAUGGGUAUUCUGACCAGAAUGAACAACUGGUUCGCUGCCUGUGUGCUGGUAAAAGUUUUGUUCCUUGGGUGUCAAACAGGCUAACUUUGAUUCCCAUAACAAACAGGUUGAAUGCUCAUGUUUCUAUGGAGGGGGAACUGCCAGAAGAGGUUACAAAGCUGCCACCAGAUGUUGAACUAAAAAAAAUAUCAUAGAGAAUCUUGCACACUUGCGCCAGCCUCUUUCUUGGGUUGUUUGUGAUAUAAUCAUUUGGUUGCAACACAUGAAAAUCAGAAGAUGGCCCCAUAGCCACUUGCAUGCUUCACCAAUAUCAGGAAACCUUGAAGAGCAUGGCAGGUAUUUGGUUAAAAGGAAUAUAAAUGUGCCAAACUGCCUUUGUCCGGUGGGUGGCGAGGAUCAAGAGUCUACGGAACAUUUGUUUGUGACGUGGUUUCACUCAAACAGUAUGGCAUUUAGUAUUACAAUGGUGCAAGUUCCCUCCAAUCUAUGCGUUCCAGGUAAGAGAGCUUCUUGAUUUGCAUUUGUACGUAGGCGGGUCAGCGAAAUUUAAAAAGGUUAUUCUAGCUAUUUUCCACAUGGUUUGCUGGUGUAUUUGGAGGUGUCAAAACGAAGCAGUUUUUAAUCAAGGCCGAUGCUCGCUGUAGAAGAUUAUGGGAGAUGUAAAGGGGUUGUCAUUUUUGUGGAUUAAGGCGCAUUCCAAACAAUCGAACUUAGAUUGGGAUAUUUGGGGUAGUUUUAAUGUUCAUAGAGUUGGGUGGUAUUGCUUGAAUGUAAUAUGAAUUGUAUAUGGUUUACUAUUUUGGUGUAAGCUAGCAACCUGCUGGCUUUUUCAUCUGAUAAUAAAUUGAU